CUAUAAUUUGUAACUGAAAAAUUUACUAGUUGCAUUUUUUCAACUCCAUAUCCUAACGUAAUUUAAAACCCAAAAUCAUCCACAAACGCAAUAUCAAUCAUAAACUCAUACUGCUGCAAGAUAUUCUUCUCGUCAUUAGCAUCCGCCAAUACAAGAUAAUACUUGUCUCCAUACUUAUAUUCUCUUGAUUUCAAAGUAAACUUCUCAUGGAAAGUUCUCUUCUCCGGUGCAUCUUCCCUGCUAUUGGCAAUCAUAGGCACAUCAAAUGAGAUUUUUUCUCCAUCUUCCGUAGUAAAGUAAGCCACGAUACUUCUUGCUUUCAUGGUGUCUGUGACUUUCUCUAUCUGAAUGAAAUCAAAGUAUGUGAUAAGAUUCGUCACCUUACGGGUAACAGAUGUCAGGACAACAUCUACAUAAUCGUAUGCCACACCUCUGGUAUUCGUUGUAACUUCAAUGACCGGAACCAUCAUCUCCUGCAGAGACGUACCGCCAUGUACAUAGUUCUGUCCACCUCCGGCAACCUUGAAAAUAUCUGCUCCAACCGGAGUAUCCACAUACAGUUUAUUGAGGUACGCCAUUGUUCUUGCCAUGAUUCCCUGCUCAUUUACUGCAUCUUCUGUAAUAAGGAAUCUCUUAUUUGUAUAAAGGCAUUUAUCCUUUGGAUAUGAUACCUUGUCAAACUCCUGUAAUCUGUCUCUCUUAUAUAAGAAUCCAUGAUCUGCAGUUAUGAAAAACUUUGGUGCUGAUACAUAACCAGUCAGUUUCUUAACCAACUUAUGUAUCUCUUCUAUAGCCUCUGCACAAGCAUUGAAUACCUCAUUCUCACUUGCUGGCUUGUCCCCUCUUGCAUCCACCUGAUUGUGAUAGAUGUACACGAUAUUCUUGCCCUGAAUCAACUCCCUGAUUCGUGCCUGAUUUGCAUUUGCUACUUCAUCAAAUGACAAUGCCACAUUAUUUUCAUUAUAUGAUUUCAGUAUCUUGUCUCUCUGCUCCAUACUUGCACAUGCCUGUCCAUCAACAGUCACAUUCAAGCUUCCAUCCACCUGCAUCUCUUUAUGUGGAAGCAGACUUGCCAUUCCAACCGAGGUCACAGAAGGCAGACAGCUAAGCAUCUAUGUACAGGAUAGGCGGGAGACUGGGAAGUAUGAGCGUCAGCUUAUACGGAGUCAUUGUUGGGAUACCGCCCUUAGGUUUCUGGAAUUCUAACCUGCGACCGUGAAUCCGGUCGGGGGACAUUGUCAGGUGGGCAGUUUGACUGGGGCGGUCGCCUCCGAAAAGGUAACGGAGGCGCUCAAAGGUUGGCUCAGCACGGACGGAAACCGUGCCUCAGAGUGUAAACGCAAAAGCCAGCCUAACUGCGAGGAUGACGGUCCGAGCAGUAACGAAAGUUGGAGUUAGUGAUCCGGCGGUAUGUGAAUGGAAAUGCCGUCGCUCAACGGAUAAAAGCUACCCUGGGGAUAACAGGCUGAUCUCCCCCAAGAGUCCACAUCGACGGGGAGGUUUGGCACCUCGAUGUCGGCUCAUCACAUCCUGGGGCUGUAUUCGGUCCCAAGGGUUCGGCUGUUCGCCGAUUAAAGUGGUACGCGAGCUGGGUUCAGAACGUCGCGAGACAGUUCGGUCCCUAUCUGUCGUGGGCGCAGGAUAUUUGAGGAGCUCUGUCCUUAGUACGAGAGGACCGGGAUGGACGUACCUCUGGUGCACCAGUUGUCAUGCCAAUGGCACGGCUGGGCAGCUACGUACGGAACGGAUAAACGCUGAAAGCAUCUAAGCGUGAAGCCGACUCCAAGAUUAGAUAUCCCAUUGCAUAAGCAAGUAAGACCCCUUGAGGACUACGAGGUUGAUAGGCUGCGUGUGUAAGUGUCGUGAGGCAUUUAGCUUGGCAGUACUAAUAGGUCGAGGGCUUGACCA
Molecule: ribosomal RNA, 1908 nt
Filed under: human gut metagenome
Description: bacterial LSU rRNA
Rfam family: Bacterial large subunit ribosomal RNA (bases 1051-1897)
Source: RNAcentral